UAAUACGUAGGUCGCAAGCGUUGUCCGGAUUUACUGGGCGUAAAGAGCGCGCAGGCGGCUGGUCAAGUCCGAUGUGAAAUCUCCCGGCUCAACUGGGAAACUGCAUCGGAAACUGAUCGGCUUGAAGGUGGGAGAGAGUAGUGGAAUUCCCGGUGUAGUGGUGAAAUGCGUAGAUAUCGGGAGGAACACCAGUGGCGAAGGCGACUACUUGGCCCAUUCUUGACGCUGAGGCGCGAAAGCUAGGGGAGCGAACGGGAUUAGAUACCCCGGUAGUCCUAGCCGUAAACGAUGAACACUAGGCGUAGUCGGUAUCGACCCCGGCUGUGCCGUAGCUAACGCAUUAAGUGUUCCGCCUGGGGAGUACGGCCGCAAGGCUA
RNAcentral lists this ribosomal RNA (377 nucleotides) under uncultured bacterium. RNAcentral's name for it is "bacterial SSU rRNA". It matches the Rfam family "Bacterial small subunit ribosomal RNA", at positions 521 to 896 of the family's 1533-position model. The record is from RNAcentral.